RNAcentral lists this ribosomal RNA (270 nucleotides) under uncultured archaeon. RNAcentral's name for it is "partial 16S ribosomal RNA". It matches the Rfam family "Archaeal small subunit ribosomal RNA", at positions 477 to 747 of the family's 1478-position model. The record is from RNAcentral.
CAGCCCCUCGAGUGGUGGGGAUGAUUGUUUGGCCUAAAGCGUCCGUAGCCGGCCGAGCAAGUCUUCCGUUAAAUCCAGCGUCUCAAGCGUUGGACCGCGGGAGAUACUACACGGCUAGAGAGUGGGAGAGGUCAGCGGUAUUCUGGGGGUAGGGGCGAAAUCCUUUGAUCCCCGGAGGACCACCAGUGGCGAAGGCUGCUGACUAGAACACGUCUGACGGUCAGGGACGAAAGCUGGGGUAGCAAACCGGAUUAGAUACCCGAGUAGUCC